This is a non-coding RNA of Pelobates cultripes (western spadefoot toad), 233 nucleotides long. NCBI's taxonomy places the organism in Eukaryota, Metazoa, Chordata, Amphibia, Anura, Pelobatidae. The record is from the annotation of a GenBank genome assembly.
UUCACAUCCAUCGUCGAAGAAACGCCUCUAGCGGCUGUCAGGAUGACAGCCACUAGAGGGUGGAUUAAUCCUGCUAUGUAAACAUAGCAGUUUCUCUGAAACUGCUAUGUUUACAUCUGAAGGGUUAAAACCUGAGGGACAUUGCACCCAGACCACUUCAUUGAGCCGAAGUGGUCUGGGUGACUAUAGAGUCCCUUUAACAUAUCAUCAUACAAGCUACUACUAGUAAUUCA